Molecule: ribosomal RNA, 178 nt
Filed under: Calostemma purpureum
Lineage: Eukaryota; Viridiplantae; Streptophyta; Magnoliopsida; Asparagales; Amaryllidaceae
Description: 5.8S ribosomal RNA
Rfam family: 5.8S ribosomal RNA (bases 2-157)
About the family: 5.8S ribosomal RNA (5.8S rRNA) is a component of the large subunit of the eukaryotic ribosome. It is transcribed by RNA polymerase I as part of the 45S precursor that also contains 18S and 28S rRNA. Functionally, it is thought that 5.8S rRNA may be involved in ribosome translocation.
Source: RNAcentral
UGACUCUCGGCAACNGAUAUYUUGKCUCUCGYAUCNAUGAAGAACRUAGCRAAAUGCKAUACUUGGUGUGAAUUGCAGAAUCCCGUGAACCAUCGAGUCUUUGAACGCAAGUUGCGCCCGAGGCUAUCCGGCUAAGGGCACGCCUGCCUGGGCGUCACGCCUAGUGACGCUCCGUGCC